RNAcentral lists this ribosomal RNA (497 nucleotides) under uncultured bacterium. Its description in RNAcentral is "partial 16S ribosomal RNA". It matches the Rfam family "Bacterial small subunit ribosomal RNA", at positions 28 to 507 of the family's 1533-position model. The record is from RNAcentral.
GAUGAACGCUGGCGGCGUGCCUAAUACAUGCAAGUCGAGCGAACAGACGAGGAGCUUGCUCCUCUGACGUUAGCGGCGGACGGGUGAGUAACACGUGGAUAACCUACCUAUAAGACUGGGAUAACUUCGGGAAACCGGAGCUAAUACCGGAUAAUAUAUUGAACCGCAUGGUUCAAUAGUGAAAGACGGUUUUGCUGUCACUUAUAGAUGGAUCCGCGCCGCAUUAGCUAGUUGGUAAGGUAACGGCUUACCAAGGCAACGAUGCGUAGCCGACCUGAGAGGGGGAUCGGCCACACUGGAACUGAGACACGGUCCAGACUCCUACGGGAGGCAGCAGUAGGGAAUCUUCCGCAAUGGGCGAAAGCUUGACGGAGCAACGCCGCGUGGGUGAUGAAGGUCUUCGGAUCGUAAAACUCUGUUAUUAGGGAAGAACAAAUGUGUAAGUAACUAUGCACGUCUUGACGGUACCUAAUCAGAAAGCCACGGCUAACUACGUG